Molecule: ribosomal RNA, 570 nt
Filed under: Triticum aestivum (bread wheat)
Lineage: Eukaryota; Viridiplantae; Streptophyta; Magnoliopsida; Poales; Poaceae
Description: partial small subunit ribosomal RNA
Source: RNAcentral
AUGCUUGAUGAAUUGAGUGGCUCUACAAUAUUCUCCAAAGUUGAUUUGCGUAGUGGAUACCAUCAAAUUCGUAUGAAAUUGGGAGAUGAAUGGAAAACAGCAUUUAAAACUAAGUUUGGAUUAUAUGAGUGGUUAGUCAUGCCUUUUGGGUUAACUAAUGCACCUAGUACUUUCAUGAGAUUAAUGAACGAAGUUUUACGUGCUUUCAUUGGACGAUUUGUGGUAGUUUACUUUGAUGACAUAUUGAUUUAUAGCAAAUCUUUGGAGGAACAUUUGGAACAUUUACGUGCUGUUUUUAUUGCUCUACGUGAUGCACGUUUGUUUGGUAACCUUGGGAAGUGCACUUUUUGCACCGACCGAGUGUCUUUUCUUGGCUAUGUUGUUACUCCACAGGGAAUUGAAGUUGAUAAAGCCAAGAUUGAAGCUAUUGAGAGUUGGCCGCAGCCCAAAACGGUCACACAAGUGAGGAGUUUUCUAGGCCUCGCAGGAUUCUAUAGGCGUUUUGUGAGAGAUUUCAGCACCAUUGCUGCACCUCUCAAUGAGCUUACAAAGAAGGAUGUGCCUUUUGUU